CAUGGGGCCAAGCUGCAACCGCUUACUAACCCAUGCAUGGUUUGCUUUGGACCAGCCCUGCUGGGUGGGUUGUGUGAUACUGGGCUGGUACUGACAAAUUCUAUACUUCUUGUCUCUUUUCUCUUUCCUCUCUCCCACCCCCUCAGGAAAUGACAAGGAAGGAGAAGUUAGACCAUCUGGGGCUGUGGGAAGGUCUGGCAGAGAGAAGGUGCUUGACAGUGACAGUACUUGGGAGGCCAGACUUCAUCUCGUCGUAUCCAAGGACUGACUGAAACAACACAGACAAGGGCCAUUUAUGGAAACUGGCAGGAGGCAGAAGGCAACCAGCCUGCCUUCCAUCUCAUCGCCACCUCCCACAGCCAAGUCUAUGGGAAAUGCUCACUGUCCUCCAGCCCAGGAGAACUUUUGUCCCUGCCUGCCAUAUCUUUUUUGGAGAGAGAGGCAAAACAAGUACUCUACACACCAUCACGAAUUUCAAAUGGUAAAAACAUCAUCUCAUUGAUUGUCUUUACAGAGCGUGCUACUGCGAUUGCUUCAUUGAAACUGAUAGAAGGG
Molecule: long non-coding RNA, 555 nt
Filed under: Capra hircus (goat)
Lineage: Eukaryota; Metazoa; Chordata; Mammalia; Artiodactyla; Bovidae
Description: lncRNA (ENSCHIG00000001523.1)
Source: RNAcentral